Molecule: long non-coding RNA, 2339 nt
Filed under: Homo sapiens (human)
Lineage: Eukaryota; Metazoa; Chordata; Mammalia; Primates; Hominidae
Description: HSALNT0326744
Source: RNAcentral
UUUUAAAAACUCAGAUUGUUCUUCUGCCCCGAAAUCUUGAGAACCACUGACUUAUGUGGUCAGAAGUGAUCGACUCCCUGGGCUGGGAAGCUCCAAUUUUCUCCUCCAGAUUUCCUGUGUCGCCCUCUCCUCCCUGUCCUCUGCCCCAUUAGGGAGGAUGCAUGGAUUCCUUCAGCAAGCUCUUUGUCCUUCGGUUUCCAGAGACAGACACGCAGAGGGACAAUGAAGAAACACAAAGAGAAGAUGGCUGUCUAUAAGUCAAAGUGAGAGUUCUGGACCGGAUUCUUCCCUCAGAGCCCUCGAAAGUAACCAAUCCCACCAGCAACUUGAUUUUGGACUUCUCAUCUCCAGAACUUGAAAAGGCUGGCAUAGAAGCUGUCUGAAUCUAUGAAAUCAAAAAAGGAUCAAAGUAGAGACACAAAUUCCUCUGAACUUGAAAUUGAAAUGAGUGUGUUGCCAGCAUCUAUUCAUCCGCCUAAAACCAAGUAAAUCAUUUCAGAAGAAGUUUUCAGCAGUCUAUCAAAGUGACAAGAGUGGUGAGGUAGUAAAGUAGAAACGCAUUGACAACUUUAUUCCUAUUGACUGGAUAAAUAAUCUUCAUGACUCAAAGUGAUGAAACGCAUCAGAAAUAGAAGCAAAAUGUUCACGUUUCAGUCCGUGAGUAGGGCUUGAAUCCCACAGGAGGAAUUAAGAAAAAGAAGCGAACACUCGGAGGAUAACAUCGCAAUAUUACUUAGCCAUUAUUCUUUACAGUGUUAGGCCCCUUCCAGAGAUGUUUGACUGAUUUGUUGCUUGUCCACGUAGAUGCGUGAAUACACUAAAUAGUCAUCAAAUAUGGGUCAAGUAGUGUGCUGGUUGUUUUACGUAUGUUCUCCUUUAAUUUACCCAACAAUAUUGUGACAUAUCAUCAUUAUUUUAAGAAUGAGAAAGCUUAAAGUUAAUAGAGAUUAAAAAAUAAUUUUCCAACUCUCUAUAAUGAGCAGGUAGUAAGAUCAGAAUUCAUAUCUUCAUCUGUCAAAACCAAAGCCCAUAUUCUAAAUCACUUACAGUGAGUAAAAGGGGCUUCUUAAAACUUUAUAUGUAAGAAUGUAAUCUUAAAUGAGAAAACAAACUAGCUUUUAAACUAUGUGCUGUGACUUUUCUGACACAAUGUGUUUAUAAUUUUUUUCCACUUGACAAAAAAAGAACCACAUAUUAGACUAAUUGUGCUUAGGGUACAGAAUAUGAGCAUGUUUUGACUUAAAAUGUAAAAUAAAUAAUGAACUAAUAGUAGACACCCCAACCUGAUCAUAGAAAACUUUUGUUUUUAAUUUCUCUUGGUAGUCAGUCUUUGUGAAUGUGGAUUUAAGCCACCAAAUCCUUUACUAUGUAUUACUAAAACAUAAGGCAAGGAGAAAGCAUUCCCAUUUCUGAUGUAGCAGCCUCGGAUAAAAGAGGCUAGUGAGAGGCCUUAAUGUGAGUGUUCCAUAAUCUUUUGUGCCAUGAAUCCCUCUGUAGUCUGAAGAAGCUUUGGAACUCUUCUCAGAAUGAUGUUUUUAAAUGAAUAAAAUAAUAUACAUAGAAUUCCCAAGGAAACCAAUUGUAUUGAAAUGUAGUCAUCAAGAGUUUAUUUUAAUGUAAUACAGUAAUAUAUGACCUUCUCUAUUAAUGUGUUAAGUAACAACAUCUGUGGUAGGUAUAAUAACUGUUUGCAUUUGAAGUAGGGGUGAAUGCAAAAUGUAUUGCAAGAUCUGCAAUAAGUGUAAUGAGAUAUGAAAAAAAUAUGUGAUUUCUCUUGGUGAGAAAGUUGCAUGUACUGCUAGUAACCAUGUGACAUGGUACCUACCUUCAUAUUUGGAGGUAAUGAGAAUUUUGUUCUUAGAGUUCAAUAAAAAUGAAUAUGUACUUUUUUCCUGCCCAAGUUCACCCAGGGGUUUAAAGGAUUUUGUAUUAGAACGUCUUUUCUAAAGAAUAAGAGCUGGAGGUAACAGGGAGAAGGACCGUAGAAAUUUGAGACCUGGUCAGAGACUGGGGCUACUGUGACACAUAUUUUGCUUGUGCAAUUGCUUUUGAAAGUUACUGUAUUUUGGGGGAAAAGAAUAAAAGGUGUUUAGAAGAAAAUGCUUGGCUACUUUGAUAUUUUAAUAUUUUCCCUAUAACAACAAAAAAAUUAGGCCAUUCUCCCUUUAAGUGCUUGAUAUGCACAAUACCAAAACUGGUAUUGUAAAACUGGCAGAGAUUUACAAGAAAUUUUCUAUCCCACUGGCCAAAAAAUAAUCCUAGCAAUAUGGUGUAACCGGUAUAAAAGAAGAAUAGAUGAGUCAAAAAUAAAAAUAAAUAAGUGAGUAAAUAAGUGGGAG